GCUGGGUACCGUGGCGUGCACCUGUAAUCCCAACAGCUCAGGAGGCUGAGGCAGGAGGAUUGCAAGUUCAAAGCCAGUCUCAGCAAAGGCGAGGUGCAUAGCAACUCAGUGAGACCCUGGCUCUA
Molecule: small RNA, 125 nt
Filed under: Marmota monax (woodchuck)
Lineage: Eukaryota; Metazoa; Chordata; Mammalia; Rodentia; Sciuridae
Source: RNAcentral